GCCUCGGUAGCUCAGCUGGGAGAGCACCUGACUCUUAAUCAGGGUGUCCAGGGUUCGAACCCCUGCCGGGGUACCA
Molecule: transfer RNA, 76 nt
Filed under: Clostridia bacterium
Lineage: Bacteria; Bacillati; Bacillota; Clostridia
Also listed under: 1 other name
Description: tRNA-Lys
Rfam family: tRNA
About the family: Transfer RNA (tRNA) molecules are approximately 80 nucleotides in length. Their secondary structure includes four short double-helical elements and three loops (D, anti-codon, and T loops).
Source: RNAcentral